UACGUAGGGUGCAAGCGUUGUCCGUAAUUAUUGGGCGUAAAGAGCUCGUAGGCGGUUUGUCGCGUCUGCUGUGAAAACCCGAGGCUCAACCUCGGGCCUGCAGUGGGUACGGGCAGACUAGAGUGCGGUAGGGGAGAUUGGAAUUCCUGGUGUAGCGGUGGAAUGCGCAGAUAUCAGGAGGAACACCAAUGGCGAAGGCGGAUCGCUGGGCCGUAACUGACGCUGAGGAGCGAAAGCAUGGGGAGCAAACAGG
This 253-nucleotide ribosomal RNA is filed under the name uncultured bacterium. RNAcentral's name for it is "partial 16S ribosomal RNA". It matches the Rfam family "Bacterial small subunit ribosomal RNA", at positions 524 to 776 of the family's 1533-position model. The record is from RNAcentral.